This 497-nucleotide ribosomal RNA is filed under the name uncultured bacterium. RNAcentral describes it as "partial 16S ribosomal RNA". It matches the Rfam family "Bacterial small subunit ribosomal RNA", at positions 28 to 507 of the family's 1533-position model. The record is from RNAcentral.
GAUGAAUGCUGGCGGCGUGCCUAAUACAUGCAAGUCGAGCGAACAGACGAGGAGCUUGCUCCUCUGACGUUAGCGGCGGACGGGUGAGUAACACGUGGAUAACCUACCUAUAAGACUGGGAUAACUUCGGGAAACCGGAGCUAAUACCGGAUAAUAUAUUGAACCGCAUGGUUCAAUAGUGAAAGACGGUUUUGCUGUCACUUAUAGAUGGAUCCGCGCCGCAUUAGCUAGUUGGUAAGGUAACGGCUUACCAAGGCAACGAUGCGUAGCCGACCUGAGAGGGUGAUCGGCCACACUGGAACUGAGACACGGUCCAGACUCCUACGGGAGGCAGCAGUAGGGAACCUUCCGCAAUGGGCGAAAGCCUGACGGAGCAACGCCGCGUGAGUGAUGAAGGUCUUCGGAUCGUAAAACUCUGUUAUUAGGGAAGAACAAAUGUGUAAGUAACUAUGCACGUCUUGACGGUACCUAAUCAGAAAGCCACGGCUAACUACGUG